GACGAACGCUGGCGGCGUGCUUAACACAUGCAAGUCGAACGGAAAGGCCCUGCUUUUGUGGGGUGCUCGAGUGGCGAACGGGUGAGUAACACGUGAGUAACCUGCCCUUGACUUUGGGAUAACUUCAGGAAACUGGGGCUAAUACCGGAUAGGAGCUCCUGCUGCAUGGUGGGGGUUGGAAAGUUUCGGCGGUUGGGGAUGGACUCGCGGCUUAUCAGCUUGUUGGUGGGGUAGUGGCUUACCAAGGCUUUGACGGGUAGCCGGCCUGAGAGGGUGACCGGCCACAUUGGGACUGAGAUACGACCCAGACUCCUACUGGAGGCAGCAGUGUUGAAUAUUUCACAAUGGGCGGAAGCCUGAUGCAGCAACGCCGCGUGCGGGAUGACGGCCUUCGGGUUGUAAACCGCUUUCGCCUGUGACGAAGCGUGAGUGACGGUAAUGGGUAAAGAAGCACCGGCUAACUACGUG
This 468-nucleotide ribosomal RNA is filed under the name uncultured bacterium. RNAcentral describes it as "partial 16S ribosomal RNA". It matches the Rfam family "Bacterial small subunit ribosomal RNA", at positions 28 to 507 of the family's 1533-position model. The record is from RNAcentral.